This 214-nucleotide ribosomal RNA is filed under the name uncultured microorganism. RNAcentral describes it as "partial 16S ribosomal RNA". It matches the Rfam family "Bacterial small subunit ribosomal RNA", at positions 9 to 217 of the family's 1533-position model. The record is from RNAcentral.
GAGUUUGAUCCUGGCUCAGAUUGAACGCUGGCGGCAUGCCUUACACAUGCAAGUCGAACGGCAGCAUGAUCUAGCUUGCUAGAUUGAUGGGCGAGUGGCGAACGGGUGAGUAAUACAUCGGAACGUGCCCUGUAGUGGGGGAUAACUAGUCGGAAAGAUUAGCUAAUACCGCAUACGACCUGAGGGUGAAAGUGGGGGACCGCAAGGCCUCAUG